This 575-nucleotide ribosomal RNA is filed under the name Hormonema sp. PIMO_38. RNAcentral's name for it is "eukaryotic LSU rRNA". The stretch from base 191 to 344 matches the Rfam family "5.8S ribosomal RNA". The record is from RNAcentral. Lineage: Eukaryota; Fungi; Ascomycota; Dothideomycetes; Dothideales; Dothioraceae.
GGAUCAUUAAAGAGAUAGGGUCUUCACGGCCCGACCUCCAACCCUCUGUUGUUAAAACUACCUUGUUGCUUUGGCGGGACCGUCUCGGUCUCCGAGCGCACUAACCUUCGGGUUGGUGAGUGCCCGCCAGAGUCCAACCAAACUCUUGUAUUAAACCAGUCGUCUGAGUAUAAAAUUUUAAUUAAAUUAAAACUUUCAACAACGGAUCUCUUGGUUCUCGCAUCGAUGAAGAACGCAGCGAAAUGCGAUAAGUAAUGUGAAUUGCAGAAUUCAGUGAAUCAUCGAAUCUUUGAACGCACAUUGCGCCCCUUGGUAUUCCGAGGGGCAUGCCUGUUCGAGCGUCAUUACACCACUCAAGCAUCGCUUGGUAUUGGGAACGGUCCGUCGAAAGGCGGGCCUUCCUCGAAGACCUCGGCGGGGUUCAACCAACUUCGGGCGUAGUAGAGUUAAAUCGAACGUCUUAUAAGCUUGGUCGGAUCUCAUUGCCGUUAAACCUUUUUAAAUUUUUCUAGGUUGACCUCGGAUCAGGUAGGGAUACCCGCUGAACUUCAAGCAUAUUCAUAAGCGGAGGAAAG